RNAcentral lists this unclassified non-coding RNA (270 nucleotides) under fungal sp. Its description in RNAcentral is "partial internal transcribed spacer region". The stretch from base 1 to 46 matches the Rfam family "Eukaryotic small subunit ribosomal RNA", at positions 1786 to 1831 of the family's 1831-position model. Lineage: Eukaryota; Fungi. The record is from RNAcentral.
AAGUCGUAACAAGGUUUCCGUAGGUGAACCUGCGGAAGGAUCAUUCUUGUACUUGGCUCUAGGCCAACUACUACAACAACUGUGUGAACCGUACCACUGACUGUUGUCGAUAACUCUGGCAGAAGGCGGGGCGAAACUCCUGGUACAGGAGCGGUAGUCUGCGCGCUGCCAAUGGAACUCGGCAGCAACUAUACACGAACUCUUUACCUAGUGUACUGAAUCUCACAACUAAAUUGAAUACAACUUUUAGCAACGGAUCUCUAGGCUCUC